RNAcentral lists this long non-coding RNA (427 nucleotides) under Hordeum vulgare. RNAcentral describes it as "long non-coding RNA (HVUL_LNC018791)". The record is from RNAcentral. Lineage: Eukaryota; Viridiplantae; Streptophyta; Magnoliopsida; Poales; Poaceae.
UCGGGGCACAACUCCAAGUCGUCCUGUAACCGUGGACACGGCUAUCCGAAUAGUUAAAUUUCAUCCGUGCAGGGGUGCACCACAUGUCCCGUCACGCUCGAUAACACUCUGGCCGGACAUACUUUUCUGGGUCCUUCCCGGCCUCGGAAUAUCGACACGUCACAGCCCCACCUAAGACUAAUCAGAGAGGUCAGCCCGCCGGUCUAAAUCCUAAGUGCAAAGGGUUUAUGGGCCCAGUUCCCCUCCGUGCUCCUGCACGAUGCGAGGGCGGCCGAUGUCAGUCCUAGCAUCCCUUAAUCACAAGCGCAACGCAUCUCGGGACCACUCGGGCGUGCGCCACUACGAUUGCUGACAUCUGAAAAGCUUCGGCUGAUACCGCGACGCCGAGUACCCAUAAUUCUUCCCGCGUAGUCGGUUAGUGCGAAAA